UGGGGAAUUUUGGACAAUGGGGGAAACCCUGAUCCAGCCAUCCCGCGUGUGCGAUGAAGGCCUUCGGGUUGUAAAGCACUUUUGGCAGGAAAGAAACGUCAUGGGUUAAUACCCCGUGAAACUGACGGUACCUGCAGAAUAAGCACCGGCUAACUACGUGCCAGCAGGCGCGGUAAUACGUAGGGUGCAAGCGUUAAUCGGAAUUACUGGGCGUAAAGCGUGCGCAGGCGGUUCGGAAAGAAAGAUGUGAAAUCCCAGAGCUCAACUUUGGAACUGCAUUUUUAACUACCGGGCUAGAGUGUGUCAGAGGGAGGUGGAAUUCCGCGUGUAGCAGUGAAAUGCGUAGAUAUGCGGAGGAACACCGAUGGCGAAGGCAGCCUCCUGGGAUAACACUGACGCUCAUGCACGAAAGCGUGGGGAGCAAACAGG
RNAcentral lists this ribosomal RNA (429 nucleotides) under Acidobacteriota bacterium. RNAcentral describes it as "Acidobacteria bacterium partial 16S ribosomal RNA". It matches the Rfam family "Bacterial small subunit ribosomal RNA", at positions 355 to 776 of the family's 1533-position model. Lineage: Bacteria; Pseudomonadati; Acidobacteriota. The record is from RNAcentral.